Long non-coding RNA from Vombatus ursinus (common wombat), 467 nucleotides. RefSeq lists it as uncharacterized. NCBI's taxonomy places the organism in Eukaryota, Metazoa, Chordata, Mammalia, Diprotodontia, Vombatidae. The record is from RefSeq and is a predicted model, not a curated record. The transcript is spliced from 3 exons.
GUGAGUUCUUAACCCAGACCAUCAUUUCAUGAGGCUCCCAGGCUACGCUCACUUCACUCUUGGCUCCAUCCCUCACUCUUGGGACUUCCCCACCUCCUUACCAGAAGCUUUGCAGCCCUGCUCCCAUAAAGCAGCAAGCUGGUGGUUGUUGGUGGUGCAUAUUUCUUCCUUUCUUUCCCCUUUCCCCCACUUCCACCCCAAGGACACCCAAGGAGCCGUUGAGGAAACUUGUGACUUGAACGCUGUCUUCUGAGGUUCGAUCAAAUGCCAGGCAUGAUUCAAGCAUGAUCUUCUGUUCCUUUGGCACAUCUCUCUCUGAUGCCUGCUCUUCCACCCGUGCCAGCUAACUCCUGCUGCUGCCAUGACCCCCUGGUGGACACUGCAGCCACUCGCCUCCCAGGACCUCAUGACCUCCCAAAAUGCACUAGGUUGCUUGGAUUCAUCAUCAUCAUCAUCAUCAUCAUCAU